GCAUAUCAAUAAGCGGAGGAAAAGAAACCAACCGGGAUUGCCCUAGUAACGGCGAGUGAAGCGGCAAGAGCUCAAAUUUGAAAGCUGGCCCCCUCGGGGUCCGCAUUGUAAUUUGCAGAGGAUGCUUCGGGAACGGCCCCCAUCUAAGUGCCCUGGAACGGGCCGUCAUAGAGGGUGAGAAUCCCGUCUGGGAUGGGGUGGCCGCGCCCGUGUGAAGCUCCUUCGACGAGUCGAGUUGUUUGGGAAUGCAGCUCUAAUUGGGUGGUAAAUUUCAUCUAAAGCUAAAUAUUGGCCGGAGACCGAUAGCGCACAAGUAGAGUGAUCGAAAGAUGAAAAGCACUUUGAAAAGAGAGUUAAACAGCACGUGAAAUUGUUGAAAGGGAAGCGCUUGCGACCAGACUCGCCCGCGGGGUUCAGCCGGCACUCGUGCCGGUGUACUUCCCCGCGGGCGGGCCAGCGUCGGUUUGGGCGGCCGGUCAAAGGCCUCUGGAAGGUAACGCCUCUCGGGGCGUCUUAUAGCCAGGGGUGCCAUGCGGCCUGCCCGGACCGAGGAACGCGCUUCGGCUCGGACGCUGGCAUAAUGGUCGUAAGCGACCCGUCUUGAAACACGGACCA
This 615-nucleotide ribosomal RNA is filed under the name Aschersonia sp. Aa-10. RNAcentral's name for it is "LSU rRNA". It matches the Rfam family "Eukaryotic large subunit ribosomal RNA", at positions 38 to 668 of the family's 3401-position model. RNAcentral also lists the same sequence under 1 other name. The record is from RNAcentral. Lineage: Eukaryota; Fungi; Ascomycota; Sordariomycetes; Hypocreales; Clavicipitaceae.